GUGCCAGCAGCCGCGGUAAUACGGAGGAUGCAAGCGUUAUCCGGAAUCAUUGGGCGUAAAGAGUCCGUAGGUGGCACUUCAAGUCUGCUUUCAAAGACCGAAGCUCAACUUCGGAAAGGGAGUGGAAACUGAAGAGCUAGAGUAUAGUAGGGGUAGAGGGAAUUCCUAGUGUAGCGGUGAAAUGCGUAGAGAUUAGGAAGAACACCAGUGGCGAAGGCGCUCUACUGGGCAUAUACUGACACUGAGGGACGAAAGCUAGGGGAGCGAAAGGGAUUAGAUACCCCUGUAGUCCUAGCGGUAAACGAUGGAUACUAGGCGUAGUGCUGUUAGAAGGACUGUGCCGAAGCUAACGCGUUAAGUAUCCCGCCUGGGGAGUACGCACGCAAGUGUGAAACUCAAAUGAAUUGACGGGG
RNAcentral lists this ribosomal RNA (413 nucleotides) under uncultured prokaryote. RNAcentral's name for it is "bacterial SSU rRNA". It matches the Rfam family "Bacterial small subunit ribosomal RNA", at positions 505 to 918 of the family's 1533-position model. The record is from RNAcentral.